UACGUAGGGGGCAAGCGUUGUCCGGAAUUAUUGGGCGUAAAGAGCGUGUAGGCGGUCCGGUAAGUCAGCUGUGAAAGUCAAGGGCUCAACCCUUGAAUGCCGGUUGGUACUGUCGGGCUAGAGUCCGGAAGAGGCGAGUGGAAUUCCCGGUGUAGCGGUGAAAUGCGCAGAUAUCGGGAGGAACACCAAUGGCGAAGGCAGCUCGCUGGGACGGUACUGACGCUGAGACGCGAAAGCGUGGGGAGCAAACAGG
This 253-nucleotide ribosomal RNA is filed under the name uncultured bacterium. RNAcentral describes it as "partial 16S ribosomal RNA". It matches the Rfam family "Bacterial small subunit ribosomal RNA", at positions 524 to 776 of the family's 1533-position model. The record is from RNAcentral.